RNAcentral lists this ribosomal RNA (507 nucleotides) under uncultured bacterium. RNAcentral's name for it is "partial 16S ribosomal RNA". It matches the Rfam family "Bacterial small subunit ribosomal RNA", at positions 29 to 523 of the family's 1533-position model. The record is from RNAcentral.
AGUGAACGCUGGCGGUAGGCCUAACACAUGCAAGUCGAACGGCAGCACAGGAGAGCUUGCUCUCUGGGUGGCGAGUGGCGGACGGGUGAGGAAUACAUCGGAAUCUACUCUGUCGUGGGGGAUAACGUAGGGAAACUUACGCUAAUACCGCAUACGACCUACGGGUGAAAGCAGGGGAUCUUCGGACCUUGCGCGAUUGAAUGAGCCGAUGUCGGAUUAGCUAGUUGGCGGGGUAAUGGCCCACCAAGGCUAAGACGGGUAGCUGGUCUGAGAGGAUGAUCAGCCACACUGGAACUGAGACACGGUCCAGACUCCUACGGGAGGCAGCAGUGGGGAAUAUUGGGCAAUGGGCGCAAGCCUGACCCAGCCAUGCCGCGUGAGUGAUGAAGGCCUUCGGGUCGUAAAGCUCUGUGGGGAGGGAAGAAACGCCUUGUGGCUAAUAUCCACGAGGUUUGACGGUACCUCCUUAGCAAGCACCGGCUAACUCCGUGCCAGCAGCCGCCGUAA